AGUGAACGCUGGCGGUAGGCCUAACACAUGCAAGUCGAACGGCAGCACAGUAAGAGCUUGCUCUUACGGGUGGCGAGUGGCGGACGGGUGAGGAAUACAUCGGAAUCUACUUUUUCGUGGGGGAUAACGUAGGGAAACUUACGCUAAUACCGCAUACGACCUACGGGUGAAAGCAGGGGAUCUUCGCACCUUGCGCGAUUGAAUGCGCCGAUGUCGGAUUAGCUAGUUGGCGGGGUAAAGGCCCACCAAGGCGGCGAUCCGUAGCUGGUCUGAGAGGAUGGUCAGCCACACUGGAACGGAGACACGGUCCAGACUCCUACGGGAGGCAGCAGUGGGGAAUAUUGGACAAUGGGCGCAAGCCUGAUCCAGCCAUACCGCGUGGGUGAAGAAGGCCUUCGGGUUGUAAAGCCCUUUUGUUGGGAAAGAAAAGCAGCAGGUUAAUACCCCGCUGUUCUGACGGUACCCAAAGAAUAAGCACCGGCUAACUUCGUG
This 492-nucleotide ribosomal RNA is filed under the name uncultured bacterium. RNAcentral's name for it is "partial 16S ribosomal RNA". It matches the Rfam family "Bacterial small subunit ribosomal RNA", at positions 29 to 507 of the family's 1533-position model. The record is from RNAcentral.